This 318-nucleotide unclassified non-coding RNA is filed under the name Hevea brasiliensis (rubber tree). Lineage: Eukaryota; Viridiplantae; Streptophyta; Magnoliopsida; Malpighiales; Euphorbiaceae. The record is from RNAcentral.
GAUAAAAAGGGAGCUGAAAAUGUUAUAGCGGAUCAUCUAUCAAGGAUUAAUUAUGAGAGUAAAGAUGAAAAUGAAGAGGAAUUGCCAAUUGAUGAGUUUUUCUCAAAUGAGCAAUUACUAGUUGUUGUUGCUGCAUUGUCAUGGUUUGCAGAUUUUAUGAAUUACCUGUCAUGUGGAGUUCUCCCACCAGAUUUGAGCUAUCAAUAGAAAAAGAAAUUUAUGCAUGAUGUGAAAUUUUAUACAUGGGAGGAUCCAUUGUUAUUUAAGAGAUGUAAUGAUGAUCUUGUAAUGGCCAGGCCCACUAGUGAUAUUGUCCGC